Molecule: long non-coding RNA, 557 nt
Organism: Lycium barbarum (goji berry)
Lineage: Eukaryota; Viridiplantae; Streptophyta; Magnoliopsida; Solanales; Solanaceae
Exons: 3
Source: RefSeq, a predicted model, not a curated record
CUCUCUAUCUCAAAAAAAAAACCGCAGACCAUCUCUCAAUGUCUUCAACCUCCAUAGCUGACCAUCUCUCUAUCGUAUUUUUUUUCCCCUUCUUUUGGAUGGAUGUGCGAAGAUAUAACUCGACAAUGUUGAUCUUGGAACAGCAUGUGGGAAGUUUCAUCGUGUGUCAUGCCUCAGCAUCAUUGACCCAGGUGAUUCAGACAUUAUCAAGUCUCUGCCUGGAGAUCACUAAGAGUUGGUGAUCUAGUAGUAAUCCUCUAGAAACUAUUUUACCCGGGCUGCGCCAACCUCCAUAGCUGACCAUAGAGUGAUGGUCUGCAUUUUUUUUAGAGAGAGAGAGAGCAGCGUUAGAUACGGGUUAAGUUUAGAUUUAUUUGGGUAUGAUAUGUUAUUGACGGGUCGGGUACUAAAUUGAUUGGGUCGGAUCUUUAUUUCUUUGAUCCGGAUGAAAAAAUAAGAGGGGAAAUAAGUUGGCCACUUAGAGACUGACACGUGGCACGCCGUUAUACUCAAGGGUAUAUUUGGCCCAAAGUAUAAUGGUAAGGGUAUAAUUGGCC